This 450-nucleotide ribosomal RNA is filed under the name uncultured bacterium. Its description in RNAcentral is "partial 16S ribosomal RNA". It matches the Rfam family "Bacterial small subunit ribosomal RNA", at positions 354 to 796 of the family's 1533-position model. The record is from RNAcentral.
GUGGGGAAUAUUGGACAAUGGGCGCAAGCCUGAUCCAGCCAUACCGCGUGGGUGAAGAAGGCCUUCGGGUUGUAAAGCCCUUUUGUUGGGAAAGAAAUCCUGUCGAUUAAUACUCGGUGGGGAUGACGGUACCCAAAGAAUAAGCACCGGCUAACUUCGUGCCAGCAGCCGCGGUAAUACGAAGGGUGCAAGCGUUACUCGGAAUUACUGGGCGUAAAGCGUGCGUAGGUGGUGGUUUAAGUCUGCUGUGAAAGCCCUGGGCUCAACCUGGGAAUUGCAGUGGAUACUGGAUCACUAGAGUGUGGUAGAGGGAUGCGGAAUUUCUGGUGUAGCAGUGAAAUGCGUAGAGAUCAGAAGGAACAUCCGUGGCGAAGGCGGCAUCCUGGGCCAACACUGACACUGAGGCACGAAAGCGUGGGGAGCAAACAGGAUUAGAUACCCGUGUAGUCC